AUCCCGUGGUCGAAUCUGGAGAGCAAGGCCUAUUAAUGUCGAACACACGUUUCUUAUUUGGAGUCACCAUCUUGGAAGAUAUGUGCUUCCUGCAGUGCCUAUGUGGUGAAUGGAAAAACAUGAAAAAGCAAAGAAAUAUGCUUACCAUCCAACAGACAGGACCAUAAGACCGAACAGGAGAUCCCAAUGAAGCCACCUUUCAUUUUCUACUAAAUAUGAUAGCUGGCAAAAUCUGACUGUGGACUGUUACAUUUCUGCAGCUUUGAGCAUCUCGCUAUCAAACCACAAAGCUUAGCAUGAAGGUCAUUAUCCCAGGCAGCAUCUUCCUUUGACUAACUUCUCAGAUCCGUAAACAAUAAGCAAUUGUGAGAGAUUGAUAUGAUACUUUGUGAGUAAUUUGGAUGAACUAUAAUACCAGCCUGGUAAAGUAUUAUAAUUUUAAAUGUGUCCAGAAAAUAAUUGAAAUUCUGGUUUAAGCUUCCUCCUUAAUGCACAGUGCCGGGCAUAUUUAACAGCUGACUAGUUUAGUAUGAGCAUUGCUUUACAAAUGAGGUCAUAUUGUUUUUAAGAAACAAUAUUGCUAUCAAACUUGUUUAAGGGGGAAGUGCAAGAAAUUCGGGUAAGUCUGCUUCACCUUUCUGUCUCUGUCUGUACUAUUUUUGCAUAAGUGUGGGCAAUAAACCCAUAAUCAACAGCCAGGACUCUAAGUUUAAACACUAUCCCUAUGAAAUUCUUCAGAAACAAGCCUUGAUGCAAUAUAGCUUCAGUUGAAUUAAUCCAUUAAAACAAGUAAAUCCAAGCG
Pantherophis guttatus is the source of this 802-nucleotide long non-coding RNA. RefSeq lists it as uncharacterized. NCBI's taxonomy places the organism in Eukaryota, Metazoa, Chordata, Lepidosauria, Squamata, Colubridae. The record is from RefSeq and is a predicted model, not a curated record.